GAUGAACGCUGGCGGCGUGCUUAACACAUGCAAGUCGAACGAGAAGUGAAGACGGAAACCUUCGGGCGGAAGGCUUUAUUUCGAGUGGCGGGCGGGUGAGUAACGCGUGGGUAACCUGCCUCAUACAGGGGGAUAACAGUUGGAAACGACUGUUAAUACCGCAUAAGACCACGGCACCGCAUGGUGCGGGGGUAAAAACUCCGGUGGUAUGAGAUGGACCCGCGUUCGAUUAGCCAGUUGGCGGGGUAACGGCCCACCAAAGCGACGAUCGAUAGCCGAUCUGAGAGGAUGACCGGCCACAUUGGGACUGAGACACGGCCCAAACUCCUACGGGAGGCAGCAGUGGGGAAUAUUGCACAAUGGGGGAAACCCUGAUGCAGCGACGCCGCGUGAGUGAAGAAGUAUUUCGGUAUGUAAAGCUCUAUCAGCAGGGAAGAAAAUAACGGUACCUGAGUAAGAAGCCCCGGCUAACUACGUG
Molecule: ribosomal RNA, 478 nt
Filed under: uncultured bacterium
Lineage: Bacteria
Description: partial 16S ribosomal RNA
Rfam family: Bacterial small subunit ribosomal RNA
Source: RNAcentral